UUGAGAAAGAGAAAGAAAAGGAGGAGAAAAGAAAAGAGAAAAAUGAAGGAAAAAAGGGGGAGAGGAAGAAAACUUGAGUUCCAUUAUUCAAUUCUUCAUUUCUCAAAGAGGAGAAGAGAUUAAUGGGAAGAGUAUGAUUUUAAGCCGGCCUUUUUGAUUAAUGAAAGAUUUUUAUAUCAAGGUGGUGACAAAAAAAUUGGAAAAGUUUACCGACCGGCCUUGUCUGUAGCUCGUAUUGUACAGUAGCUGUGUUGAGUCGCAUCGGAGCCUGUUGAAUUACCGAAUUGAGCCACUUAGCUGUUAUUUGUAUGUUUCUUUUUAUCAAUUUUUAUAGUUCAUAAAUUUUGGGGUAGAUGCAUCUUUUGUUAGUUUAUAUCACGGGCUCACUGCAUUAUUUUGUAUAAAUAAUACAUUUGGAGUCCUUUGGUUUGUAAAGAAGUGUAAAUUCCAUUCCAACGCAUUUUAUUUUGAAUAGUUGUGUUUGUAAGGGCUGAUGUACCUUGUUUUAAAUUAUAUGUAUUGA
Molecule: long non-coding RNA, 523 nt
Organism: Olea europaea var. sylvestris
Lineage: Eukaryota; Viridiplantae; Streptophyta; Magnoliopsida; Lamiales; Oleaceae
Exons: 4
Source: RefSeq, a predicted model, not a curated record